CCGAGUUCGGCACCCUCUGGGUGCCUACUCCCACCAUCUGUGUACCCAUUCUUGUUGCUUUGGCGGGGCGUGGCAAGCGCCCCUCCGGCCCCCCGGCUGGAGCGUACCCGCCAGAGGUUUUUCAAACUCGAUUAAACAGAAGUCUGAGUGAAAACAAAUGAAUCA
Molecule: unclassified non-coding RNA, 165 nt
Filed under: uncultured fungus
Lineage: Eukaryota; Fungi
Description: sequence contains ITS1, 5.8S rRNA gene
Source: RNAcentral